This 259-nucleotide ribosomal RNA is filed under the name uncultured bacterium. RNAcentral's name for it is "partial 16S ribosomal RNA". It matches the Rfam family "Bacterial small subunit ribosomal RNA", at positions 1243 to 1500 of the family's 1533-position model. The record is from RNAcentral.
AGAGAAGCGAAGCGGUGACGUGGAGCAAACCUCAGAAAGCCAAUCUCAGUUCGGAUUGUAGGCUGCAACUCGCCUACAUGAAGUUGGAAUCGCUAGUAAUCGCGAAUCAGAAUGUCGCGGUGAAUACGUUCCCGGGUCUUGUACACACCGCCCGUCACACCACGAGAGUUUACAACACCCGAAGUCAGUGGCCUAACCGCAAGGAGGGAGCUGCCUAAGGGUGGGGUAGAUGAUUGGGGUGAAGUCGUAACAAGGUAAC